This 253-nucleotide ribosomal RNA is filed under the name uncultured bacterium. RNAcentral describes it as "partial 16S ribosomal RNA". It matches the Rfam family "Bacterial small subunit ribosomal RNA", at positions 524 to 776 of the family's 1533-position model. The record is from RNAcentral.
UACAGAGGUCUCAACCGUUGUUCGGAUUCAUUGGGCGUAAAGGGUGCGUAGGCGGUCGUGCAAGUCGGAUGUGAAAUCUCAGGGCUCAACCCUGAAACUGCAUUCGAUACUGCGCGGCUAGAGUGCUGGAGGGGAGACUGGAAUUUACGGUGUAGCAGUGAAAUGCGUAGAUAUCGUAAGGAACACCAGUGGCGAAGGCGGCUCACUGGCCCGAUACUGACGCUGAGGCACGAAAGCGUGGGGAGCAAACAGG